UAGCCAACCCGCGAGGGGGAGUCCAAAUCCCUAACAAAGCCGGUCGUAGUCCGGAUCGCAGUCUGCAACUCGACUGCGUGAAGUCGGAAUCGCUAGUAAUCGCGGAUCAGCAUGUCGCGGUGAAUACGUUCCCGGGUCUU
This 140-nucleotide ribosomal RNA is filed under the name uncultured Allobrachymonas sp. RNAcentral's name for it is "uncultured Brachymonas sp. partial 16S ribosomal RNA". It matches the Rfam family "Bacterial small subunit ribosomal RNA", at positions 1247 to 1382 of the family's 1533-position model. The record is from RNAcentral. Lineage: Bacteria; Pseudomonadati; Pseudomonadota; Betaproteobacteria; Burkholderiales; Comamonadaceae.